Molecule: long non-coding RNA, 726 nt
Organism: Manihot esculenta (cassava)
Lineage: Eukaryota; Viridiplantae; Streptophyta; Magnoliopsida; Malpighiales; Euphorbiaceae
Exons: 3
Source: RefSeq, a predicted model, not a curated record
AUCCCUCUAUCUCUCGCAAAUUCCUCUCUCUUAGCUCCCUCCCUCUUUCGCAAAUCGCUGUGCUCUGUCCCUCUCUUGCGAAUCUUGUGCUCCCUCCAAUUUUAUUUCAGUCUUGCACUCUCUCCCUCUCUCGCAAAUCCCUAUCUCUCAGCUUGCUGUGCUUUCUCCUUCUCUCGCAAAUCCCUCUUUCUUCUUGACCUUUCUUCGUCUCUCUUCCUCUCUCUUGAUUGCAACUUGGCUGGCUUCAUUUCCAGCGAAUCUAGGUUGUGUGGUUGCAAAGAAGCUUUUUUUCAGAGAGGUGAGUUUAAAAACCAACCCGAGAUUUUCUAAAAGUACACUCGAAUAUCAGAAAAAAUUUUAUUGGGAUCCAUUUGUUGAUGGAAUGAUCAAAGAAGCUUGGAGAGCACACAUUCAUAAAUGAUGAAACAUGAGGAAAAUGGGAACAACACUGGGAUGAUCCUGUAGUCAUUCGAUAUUCAGCGCAAAACUCUUAAAAUCGUCAUGAUGCUGCAGAUGUUCCUGGACCAUCUACCCAUACAAGUAGAUCAAUUAGUUAUGCCUAUAUUUGAUAAAUUGGUGAAUCUCAACUUCAUAUCUUUUUUUUUUUUAACUUUUGCAUUGAUUAUGAUUUAUGUAUAUAUGUAUUUAUUUAGGAGAAAGAAUUGAGUCAACUAGCAAAUGCGACUAAGUUAUUUAUUUAUACUCGUACUUGCAAUCAUGACAGAG